AUGGAGGGUCUUAUUCCUUUGGUUUACAAGACAAUUAUGCAAUACAAGAGUGGGAAAGAAGAUGCUAUAGGAUCAUGGAUUUCUGAAUCACCUUCAUAUUCUUACACGAGACUUCCAACUGGUGAUUCUGGUCGGUUUCAAAUUCAAACAACUUCAUCAUCUUCUUCUUCUAAUCAUGUUUCUUCUUCUUCUUCGGCUACAACACAUGUUAUUGUUUCUUCUAGUGUUCAAUCUCCACAUCAUUGUCUCACACAUCGUCGAAUUGCAGCAUAA
Non-coding RNA from Vicia faba (fava bean), 273 nucleotides. NCBI's taxonomy places the organism in Eukaryota, Viridiplantae, Streptophyta, Magnoliopsida, Fabales, Fabaceae. The record is from the annotation of a GenBank genome assembly.